Molecule: ribosomal RNA, 518 nt
Filed under: Meyerozyma caribbica
Lineage: Eukaryota; Fungi; Ascomycota; Pichiomycetes; Serinales; Debaryomycetaceae
Description: partial large subunit ribosomal RNA
Rfam family: Eukaryotic large subunit ribosomal RNA
Source: RNAcentral
GCUCAAAUUUGAAAUCUGGCACCUUCGGUGUCCGAGUUGUAAUUUGAAGAUUGUAACCUUGGGGUUGGCUCUUGUCUAUGUUUCUUGGAACAGGACGUCACAGAGGGUGAGAAUCCCGUGCGAUGAGAUGCCCAAUCCUAUGUAAGGUGCUUUCGAAGAGUCGAGUUGUUUGGGAAUGCAGCUCUAAGUGGGUGGUAAAUUCCAUCUAAAGCUAAAUAUUGGCGAGAGACCGAUAGCGAACAAGUACAGUGAUGGAAAGAUGAAAAGAACUUUGAAAAGAGAGUGAAAAAGUACGUGAAAUUGUUGAAAGGGAAGGGUUUGAGAUCAGACUCGAUAUUUUGUGAGCCUUGCCUUCGUGGCGGGGUGACCCGCAGCUUAUCGGGCCAGCAUCGGUUUGGGCGGUAGGAUAAUGGCGUAGGAAUGUGACUUUGCUUCGGUGAAGUGUUAUAGCCUGCGUUGAUGCUGCCUGCCUAGACCGAGGACUGCGAUUUUAUCAAGGAUGCUGGCAUAAUGAUCCC